GUGCCAGCAGCCGCGGUAAUACGUAGGGACCGAGCGUUGUCCGGAAUCAUUGGGCGUAAAGAGCGUGUAGGCGGCCUGUUAAGUCUUGCGUGAAAUCUCGGGGCUCAACCCCGAGCGGUCGUGAGAAACUGGCGGGCUAGAGUGCGGGAGAGGAGAGUGGAAUUCCUGGUGUAGCGGUGAAAUGCGCAGAUAUCAGGAAGAACACCCGUGGCGAAGGCGGCUCUCUGGAACGCAACUGACGCUGAGACGCGAAAGCGUGGGGAGCAAACAGGAUUAGAUACCCUCGUAGUCC
RNAcentral lists this ribosomal RNA (292 nucleotides) under uncultured bacterium. RNAcentral's name for it is "partial 16S ribosomal RNA". It matches the Rfam family "Bacterial small subunit ribosomal RNA", at positions 505 to 796 of the family's 1533-position model. The record is from RNAcentral.